Molecule: non-coding RNA, 217 nt
Organism: Pelobates cultripes (western spadefoot toad)
Lineage: Eukaryota; Metazoa; Chordata; Amphibia; Anura; Pelobatidae
Source: the annotation of a GenBank genome assembly
ACGCAAUGAGAGCAGAGAUGCCAUAUAUAAUGGUGGAUUUGUAUGUGACGCACAGCCCAAAUCUAUGGAACUGUUUUGGGCAGGAAAGCCAUGCUUGCGGUCGGUCAAAUAUGACCUCCAGCUAUCUCCCGAACCCCUGAACUGAUCGCUCUGAUUUUUAAAUAUGUUGUUCCCAUAAUUAUGCCCGUUCGUAAAAUAUACGUUUUAAGUGAAUUGA